AUCCUCUCCUUUCUCCCUUACACCCAUCGACAGCUUCCAAGGCAAGACAAGUAGACUCCUUCCUCAUUCCUCUUCACCCAUCGGUCCCAAGGCACACGAAGGAGAGAAAAAACUUCUCAAGUCUUCCAUCGCACGGUUCUUCGGUUUCCCCAAAGCCGCGUGAUCUUUCUUCUCCUCAAGCCGAUUCUUCCAUUUCCUAAACCUAAGAUUUCCACCGAAAAUCUCCAAGGAAAAUCAACCUCCCCCAAAUCUUUCAUUUUUGCUCUUUCUCUUCUCGUUGCCAUGUACUUCCGUGGCUUCUAAGGGGACCCAAACAGGUAUGAAUGAUGAGGCUGUGGAGCUGGGUACUGCUGAGGAGGGAAGGGUCGAUGCUUAGAGUUCCCUGUCGGUUCAGUUUUGAGGAUAAUGGUUAUAUUUUUAUGUUUUUAUGAUGG
Molecule: long non-coding RNA, 434 nt
Organism: Juglans regia (Persian walnut)
Lineage: Eukaryota; Viridiplantae; Streptophyta; Magnoliopsida; Fagales; Juglandaceae
Exons: 3
Source: RefSeq, a predicted model, not a curated record